UCUGUGAGACUGUGUUGCUGGGUCAGAUGGGAAAACAACGAGCCUUAGCUGUGAGUGUCAGACCAGCUCCUAGCAACACUGAGGCGCAGCUGAGUCAGACUAAGUUCCGAGAUGUCAGGAGCUGCUUUCCAGAGAAUCUGUCUACUGAGAGAAAAAGAAAGAUACAAAAUGAGACACCGCUUCUGUUCUGAGGACCCAUCCUGUGGAUAUGCAAGUCCAUCAACGGAGAUCUUCCCAGCCCAGAGAGCAUACCUGCGAGCUGCCUGGGAAGCCCACUCAAUUCUUAAAAUGGAGCUGCUUUAACAUAAAGUGUUGGCAACAGGGGUUUGAGAACUCAAGGCAAGUAUUUAAGAGACUUUCUAGCUCAGGCUCCUUCAUUUGCCUAUGGAUUUCAGAAAUGCAAGCAUAAAAUGAAGUAGUUACUGGGAGGAAAAUAAGGACUUCAGUAAAAUCCAAAUUUACAGAUCUACUGGCAACGGUCUAAUCUUAGGAGGAGGUCUGGAGGUCCCUCAUCCUGUGUGGAC
This is a long non-coding RNA of Bos indicus x Bos taurus (hybrid cattle), 524 nucleotides long. The record is from Ensembl. Lineage: Eukaryota; Metazoa; Chordata; Mammalia; Artiodactyla; Bovidae.